Molecule: ribosomal RNA, 301 nt
Filed under: uncultured bacterium
Lineage: Bacteria
Description: partial 16S ribosomal RNA
Rfam family: Bacterial small subunit ribosomal RNA
Source: RNAcentral
CAGCCGCCGCGGGAAUACAGAGGGUGCAAGCGUUAAUCGGAAUUACUGGGCGUAAAGCGUGCGCAGGCGGUUCGUUAAGACAGAUGUGAAAUCCCCGGGCUUAACCUGGGAACUGCAUUUGUGACUGGCGAGCUAGAGUAUGGCAGAGGGGGGUAGAAUUCCACGUGUAGCAGUGAAAUGCGUAGAGAUGUGGAGGAAUACCGAUGGCGAAGGCAGCCCCCUGGGCCAAUACUGACGCUCAUGCACGAAAGCGUGGGGAGCAAACAGGAUUAGAUACCCCUGUAGUCCCUGUCUCUUAUAA